UUCUAGCAACCUCAGGUAUUUGCUUUUGUUCAUGCAUGUGUGGUUUUAAAUUUUUAAAUUUUCUAGAUGAUGAUAAGAAGUCCAUAUAGCACUAAUGAUUUAAGAAACAGCACAAGGUCCCAUGCCCUUUUUGGGUGGCUAAUUGUCUUUCUCACCUCUUAGAGGUGAGGACGGUCGAGGUCCAGUGUUUGAAUGGCAGCCUACCUGCUUCUGGUCAGGGCCAGAGUGCAUGGGUGGGUUAACCUAUUUCAUCAUGGAAACUGAAUGGAUGUUGUUGUAAGACAACAUUUUUAUAUAUAAGUUUGAUUUCAGGCGUCAACAUGUUCAAUAUUAGAACCUAUAUCUUCCAUUUUGUGUAGAUUAUAGCAUUUGACACAGUAAUUAGCAAAAUAACUGUGAUGCAAUUCACCAAAAUACUUUUCAACCACAAAAAUGAUAUGCGAAAUUCGAAAACGUUGCUGUUUCAAUCGCAUUGGAAUUAUUAAUUGUUGUGACAUAUGCAAUAGCUCCCCCAUCGAGGGUUCUUGGCAUUGGAAUACAUUACUGAAGGAUCAACUCUUUUGAACAGGUAUCAAGUACUGGCCGGUGUUAUUGAACAGCGGAUUUUGGAACCUUUAUUACACCAGCACAAGUUUAUGCUUAGUGCAAUUUGUUUUGCUGUUCGAACCGGCAACACAUACUUGGGUUCAUUGUUGUGGGUGGAUUAUGCUCGGUUGAUAGGAAUUCAAAAGGCUCAGGAGGAGCAGAAAGAAUUGGCUUGAUUUAUGAAUAUUGGUUUGCAACAUUAUGGCAGUUGCUUGUAGUAGGGUAUGUCAGUUAAAUUUUUGUGAGAGCUUUUGUGGGUGUUGAAAUGGUAGAAUUUUGAAGAUUGAAACGUCAGAAUUACUUGAUAAAGCUGACAUUUUGAACAUGUAGUGCAAGUAGUAAAGAAUAUAUAUAUGUAAUUUUUUUUAUUUGAAUAUCUUUUGUUAUUGUGAAAAUAAGGGAGAAUUUGCCAUCUA
This 1001-nucleotide unclassified non-coding RNA is filed under the name Hevea brasiliensis (rubber tree). Lineage: Eukaryota; Viridiplantae; Streptophyta; Magnoliopsida; Malpighiales; Euphorbiaceae. The record is from RNAcentral.